CCGCCCGCUGGGUGCCUUUCAGCAGGGUGCAGGGAGCUGCUUAGCACGCGAGGUGCAGCCUUCAGGGUUUUGUUACAAUUUCUCUUUCUACGCGGUGUUUAAACGCACUUACGUAUAACGCAGAGAGCGAGUAGAGAAACUCAAAUUAUCACCAAACCUUCACCUCCCCGCAUCCCACUGCCUCAGCGCCACAAACACCAUGUCCCUUCCAUCCCACUGCCUCAGCGCCACAAAGGCCAGGUCCCCUCCAUCCAGCAGCGCUGAGGUCCUUACAAACGGCAGCUCCCAGGAGGCAGAGCUGGGCCCGCUGAAGUGGAUCCCAGCUGAGGCUCCGUGGUGCGUGUCACAGCGCAGAGACGUUUCUCCGAGAUGGCUAAAGCAGCUGUUUCACAAACAGGAUGACCAGAGGCCUGUCCCGCAGGGAUGGAGGAGGAAGCAUUUUAAAAUGGCUGCCCGGCCCUUUGUUUGCUCAGCUGGAAGGUGAAGGGGAAGGCUGAGGACCAGGGGAAAUGAGAUUAAUCAAGGAGGCAGCUACCCAUGGAAAAAUACCACGACCAGGGGGAGAAAAAACAAGUUAAGUGCCUAGUUGAAGGGAACAUUUUGCUGCCUGCUAUGUACAACCUGAAUCAUUUCCCAAGAAAAUCACUCAGAGAAUUUUCCUUAAGAGUUCAGUGAAGAGGAAAAAAAAAUCUUUUUUUUUUUUUUCUUUCUUUCCCCUUACCAGGCGAUCAUUCAGUUGUAGAACACAAGUUCUCCGAGUUGCUGUCUCUAUAAUGCCAUCCUAAAUUAUGCUGUCUACGUAGCAUUUCUGCAGCUUGCAAGAAGGAAUGCUUAAUCUUUCCUUUUAGCCUCUUUCUCCUGCGCACACUGGACAAAAAGGGAAGGUUGGGCAUGGAAACUGCUUCUGCCCAUGUGGAAGUGAGUCUAAAUGGAAAAAUCUUAUUUGACAUCUGCUCUACACUCACAUGAUGAUGGCUCAUCUCAGUUCAACUGCUGUUACUACAUAUGCAGAAAAGUGACGCUGGUUCUUCUUAUUUUUGGAAGUUUUCACAUACCUGAAGUUAUAGAUGACUUCUACCACCUUUGUCUUGUUUUCCCGUGCUUCUUCCAUGUUCUAGUGGUGAAACUAGAGUUGGAAGGGCUUUAACUCUUCAGGACUCUUAAGCACAUUUGUUCUUCUACAUACAAAAAUCUCCAAGUGCUGAAUAGGAAUGAAAUAAAAUGCAAGUGGAAUGAAA
This is a long non-coding RNA of Anas platyrhynchos (mallard), 1238 nucleotides long. RefSeq lists it as uncharacterized. NCBI's taxonomy places the organism in Eukaryota, Metazoa, Chordata, Aves, Anseriformes, Anatidae. The record is from RefSeq and is a predicted model, not a curated record.